This 1309-nucleotide ribosomal RNA is filed under the name Paenarthrobacter sp. RNAcentral's name for it is "bacterial SSU rRNA". It matches the Rfam family "Bacterial small subunit ribosomal RNA", at positions 92 to 1412 of the family's 1533-position model. Lineage: Bacteria; Bacillati; Actinomycetota; Actinomycetes; Micrococcales; Micrococcaceae. The record is from RNAcentral.
UUAGUGGCGAACGGGUGAGUAACACGUGAGUAACCUGCCCUUGACUCUGGGAUAAGCCUGGGAAACUGGGUCUAAUACCGGAUACGACCAUCUGGCGCAUGUCAUGGUGGUGGAAAGCUUUUGUGGUUUUGGAUGGACUCGCGGCCUAUCAGCUUGUUGGUGGGGUAAUGGCCUACCAAGGCGACGACGGGUAGCCGGCCUGAGAGGGUGACCGGCCACACUGGGACUGAGACACGGCCCAGACUCCUACGGGAGGCAGCAGUGGGGAAUAUUGCACAAUGGGCGCAAGCCUGAUGCAGCGACGCCGCGUGAGGGAUGACGGCCUUCGGGUUGUAAACCUCUUUCAGUAGGGAAGAAGCGAAAGUGACGGUACCUGCAGAAGAAGCGCCGGCUAACUACGUGCCAGCAGCCGCGGUAAUACGUAGGGCGCAAGCGUUAUCCGGAAUUAUUGGGCGUAAAGAGCUCGUAGGCGGUUUGUCGCGUCUGCUGUGAAAGACCGGGGCUCAACUCCGGUUCUGCAGUGGGUACGGGCAGACUAGAGUGCAGUAGGGGAGACUGGAAUUCCUGGUGUAGCGGUGAAAUGCGCAGAUAUCAGGAGGAACACCGAUGGCGAAGGCAGGUCUCUGGGCUGUAACUGACGCUGAGGAGCGAAAGCAUGGGGAGCGAACAGGAUUAGAUACCCUGGUAGUCCAUGCCGUAAACGUUGGGCACUAGGUGUGGGGGACAUUCCACGUUUUCCGCGCCGUAGCUAACGCAUUAAGUGCCCCGCCUGGGGAGUACGGCCGCAAGGCUAAAACUCAAAGGAAUUGACGGGGGCCCGCACAAGCGGCGGAGCAUGCGGAUUAAUUCGAUGCAACGCGAAGAACCUUACCAAGGCUUGACAUGAACCGGAAAGACCUGGAAACAGGUGCCCCGCUUGCGGUCGGUUUACAGGUGGUGCAUGGUUGUCGUCAGCUCGUGUCGUGAGAUGUUGGGUUAAGUCCCGCAACGAGCGCAACCCUCGUUCUAUGUUGCCAGCGCGUUAUGGCGGGGACUCAUAGGAGACUGCCGGGGUCAACUCGGAGGAAGGUGGGGACGACGUCAAAUCAUCAUGCCCCUUAUGUCUUGGGCUUCACGCAUGCUACAAUGGCCGGUACAAAGGGUUGCGAUACUGUGAGGUGGAGCUAAUCCCAAAAAGCCGGUCUCAGUUCGGAUUGGGGUCUGCAACUCGACCCCAUGAAGUCGGAGUCGCUAGUAAUCGCAGAUCAGCAACGCUGCGGUGAAUACGUUCCCGGGCCUUGUACACACCGCCCGUCAAGUCACGAAAGUU